CUGCCUUAGACAAAGGAUGCACUCAGAACCUCACCACACCUAAAGCCAUGCUUUGAAGGAUCUGCCAAGCUCACUUUUAAUCAUGAGAAAGAAAUUACCCACAUGGAGUCAGCAGAAAAUGAGAAAGUAGAGCUCGUGCUGCGAAUAAUUCCAGCAAGUGCCAAGGGGCUAGUUGAAGAAUGGCUCCAUGAGG
Molecule: non-coding RNA, 193 nt
Organism: Pteropus vampyrus (large flying fox)
Lineage: Eukaryota; Metazoa; Chordata; Mammalia; Chiroptera; Pteropodidae
Source: Rfam